AUUGAACGCUGGCGGCAGGCCUAACACAUGCAAGUCGAGCGGAUGAAGGGAGCUUGCUCCUGGAUUCAGCGGCGGACGGGUGAGUAAUGCCUAGGAAUCUGCCUGGUAGUGGGGGAUAACGUCCGGAAACGGGCGCUAAUACCGCAUACGUCCUGAGGGAGAAAGUGGGGGAUCUUCGGACCUCACGCUAUCAGAUGAGCCUAGGUCGGAUUAGCUAGUUGGUGGGGUAAAGGCCUACCAAGGCGACGAUCCGUAACUGGUCUGAGAGGAUGAUCAGUCACACUGGAACUGAGACACGGUCCAGACUCCUACGGGAGGCAGCAGUGGGGAAUAUUGGACAAUGGGCGAAAGCCUGAUCCAGCCAUGCCGCGUGUGUGAAGAAGGUCUCCGGAUUGUAAAGCACUUUAAGUUGGGAGGAAGGGCAGUAAGUUAAUACCUUGCUGUUUUGACGUUACCAACAGAAUAAGCACCGGCUAACUUCGUGC
This 485-nucleotide ribosomal RNA is filed under the name uncultured bacterium. RNAcentral describes it as "partial 16S ribosomal RNA". It matches the Rfam family "Bacterial small subunit ribosomal RNA", at positions 30 to 508 of the family's 1533-position model. The record is from RNAcentral.